Molecule: transfer RNA, 76 nt
Filed under: Candidatus Hamiltonella defensa (Bemisia tabaci)
Lineage: Bacteria; Pseudomonadati; Pseudomonadota; Gammaproteobacteria; Enterobacterales; Enterobacteriaceae
Description: tRNA-Trp
Rfam family: tRNA
About the family: Transfer RNA (tRNA) molecules are approximately 80 nucleotides in length. Their secondary structure includes four short double-helical elements and three loops (D, anti-codon, and T loops). Further hydrogen bonds mediate the characteristic L-shaped molecular structure. tRNAs have two regions of fundamental functional importance: the anti-codon, which is responsible for specific mRNA codon recognition, and the 3' end, to which the tRNAs corresponding amino acid is attached (by aminoacyl-tRNA synthetases). tRNAs cope with the degeneracy of the genetic code in two manners: having more than one tRNA (with a specific anti-codon) for a particular amino acid; and 'wobble' base-pairing, i.e. permitting non-standard base-pairing at the 3rd anti-codon position.
Source: RNAcentral
AGGGGUGUAGUUCAAUUGGUAGAGCACCGGUCUCCAAAACCGGGUGUUGGGAGUUCGAAUCUCUCCACCCCUGCCA